RNAcentral lists this ribosomal RNA (468 nucleotides) under uncultured bacterium. RNAcentral describes it as "partial 16S ribosomal RNA". It matches the Rfam family "Bacterial small subunit ribosomal RNA", at positions 28 to 507 of the family's 1533-position model. The record is from RNAcentral.
GACGAACGCUGGCGGCGUGCUUAACGCAUGCAAGUCGAACGGAAAGGCCCUGCUUUUGUGGGGUGCUCGAGUGGCGAACGGGUGAGUAACACGUGAGUAACCUGCCCUUGACUUUGGGAUAACUUCAGGAAACUGGGGCUAAUACCGGAUAGGAGCUCCUGCUGCAUGGUGGGGGUUGGAAAGUUUCGGCGGUUGGGGAUGGACUCGCGGCUUAUCAGCUUGUUGGUGGGGUAGUGGCUUACCAAGGCUUUGACGGGUAGCCGGCCUGAAAGGGUGACCGGCCACAUUGGGACUGAGAUACGGCCCAGACUCCUACGGGAGGCAGCAGUGGGGAAUAUUGCACAAUGGGCGGAAGCCUGAUGCAGCAACGCCGCGUGCGGGAUGACGGCCUUCGGGUUGUAAACCGCUUUCGCCUGUGACGAAGCGUGAGUGACGGUAAUGGGUAAAGAAGCACCGGCUAACUACGUG